GUAACGCGUAUGCAACCUACCUUUUACUGGGGUAUAGCCCGAAGAAAUUCGGAUUAAUCCCCCAUAGCACUGAGCAUUCGCAUGAAUAAUCAGUUAAAGUUUCGGCGGUAAAAGAUGGGCAUGCGUCCUAUUAGCUAGAUGGUAAGGUAACGGCUUACCAUGGCUACGAUAGGUAGGGGGCCUGAGAGGGUGGUCCCCCACACUGGUACUGAGACACGGACCAGACUCC
This 229-nucleotide ribosomal RNA is filed under the name uncultured bacterium. RNAcentral's name for it is "partial 16S ribosomal RNA". It matches the Rfam family "Bacterial small subunit ribosomal RNA", at positions 110 to 339 of the family's 1533-position model. The record is from RNAcentral.